UGGAAAGAGAAGGAACAAGGAUGCUGGUAUC
This 31-nucleotide non-coding RNA is filed under the name Rattus norvegicus (Norway rat). Lineage: Eukaryota; Metazoa; Chordata; Mammalia; Rodentia; Muridae. The record is from RNAcentral.